This 1427-nucleotide long non-coding RNA is filed under the name Felis catus (domestic cat). RNAcentral describes it as "lncRNA (ENSFCAG00000049692.1)". The record is from RNAcentral. Lineage: Eukaryota; Metazoa; Chordata; Mammalia; Carnivora; Felidae.
AGGGGGAGGCCCCCAGGGCGGCGGCCGGUGAGCCCCGGGGGAAGGAACACAGGUGAGGCAGGAGCGCAGAGGGCGGCGCAGGCGGGGGCGCGUGGCAGGACCCCCGACCAGGGCCGCGCGGGGCUUCGCGCAGGGUAGUGAGACCCCCCCAAAGGACAACAGGGAUCCGCGCGGGGCCCCGGCGAGGUGCGGGGGGCAGGGGCGCGCGGCACUCACCGGGCGGCGGGGAGGCGAGUGCCCGCGCUGCGCUCUCUCCGGGCUCGGCGCUCUGGGCUCGGCUCGCGGCGGGGGGCGGGGCGAGCGCGGGGGGCGGGGCGGGGCGGGCCCUGGUCCCCGCGGUCCCCCUCCCCUCCAGGCCGUCUGCGGCACCGGCCCGGUCCGGCCCCAGAACGGCGACGCCCCCGCCUCAGUCUCUAACGUCCGCUCUGGCAGGAAAGCCCAGCCCGGGGGUCCCCCCUCCCCGCCGCAGCGCGCUCCUCAAAGUCGACGGAUCGGAAGCCGUCCUCACUCGGAGAAGCUGGACGCCUGGGUCUGGCGGCGGAGGCCACUAACCCCGGGCGCGGGGCCCAGCUGGCCGAGCGGUUUGGGGAUCCCCGUUCACUCUGGAGGCUGUCCCCUUGGCCGGGAUCACAGCCACCUGAUCCAAACACAGCCACUGGCUGGAAGGACUGAGGUGCCUCCAGAUGGCGGAACCCUAAGACGCCCGGAUCCUCGCCCUUGACAUACGGCGUGCUGAUAGGAGGGGACCGCAGCAAGUUACCCUGUAUUUUCUUUCCUCCCCCUCCUCCUCCCCCUCUCCCUCUACCCUCCUCCUCCCCUUCUUCCUCCCCCUACUCUCCUCCCCCUCCUCCCCCUCCUCCCCCUCCUCCCCCUUCUCCUCCUCCUCCCCCUCCUCCUCCCUCCUCCCCCUCCUCCUCCCUCCUCCCCCUUCUCCUCCUCCUCCCUCCUCCUCCCUCCUCCCCCUCCUCCCCCUUCUCCUCCUCCUCCCCCUCCUCCUCCCCCUCCUCCUCCCCCUCCUCCUCCCUCCUCCCCCUCCUCCCCCUUCUCCUCCUCCUCCUCCCCCUUCUCCUCCUCCUCCCCCUCCUCCCCCUUCUCCUCCUCCCCCUCCCCUUCUCCUCCUCCUCCCCCUCCUCCCCCUUCUCCUCCUCCUCCUCCCCCUCCUCCUCCCUCCUCCCCCUCCUCCCCCUCCUCCUUCUCUUUCUCCUUCUCCUUUGAGAGAGAGAGAGAAGGAUGAUGGUAGAGGGAGGGAGAGAGAGAGAGAGAGAGAGAGAGAGAGAGAGAGAGAGAGAGAGAGUCUUAAGCAGGCUCCACACCCCAUGCAGAGCCCAGCGUGGGGCUGGAUCUCGGGACCGUGAGACUAUGACCAGGCCAAGAUCAACCGUUGGACGUCGAGCCGACUGAGCCGCCCAGGCGCCCCAAGGUCCUUU